UUUUUUUGGCAAAAGAUUUACAUAACAAACCCAAGCAACAAAAGCCACUUCCGAAAAUAAUCUAAGGCUUGACUGCCUCUAGGGAAUUUGAUAUGUCAACCAGAAAUGAUAAUGCCAGACGUACAAAUGUAUAUACAGUGCUGCUCAAGUGAAUAGAUUUGAAAUUUCUUAAGGUUUAAAAGGCUUCGUUUUUCUUGAACGAAAACUUCGAUAUGAAUUCAAGAACUAUUGUAUGCAAAAAUGGAUCUUUUGUAUAAAUAAACUAUCAGCUAAAAUUCCAAAUUAUAAGCAGCGACCAAAACUAUGCAACGAGCUAAAUUUUUCAGUCAAGACAGAGAGAGAGAGAGAGUGUGAGACAGAGCAUAGAGAACAGAGAAAGUCAAGAAAAGGAAAAGCGUUCAUUGUAGUCAAGGCGCCAAAGCAAGAUAAAUGGCCCAGAAGCAAACACAUUUGGUGUGAAACUGGGUAACUGGCCAGUCCGCAAGCUCAGCCGUGACGCGUCGGAUGCCAAGUAAAAUCAGAGACCUCAGCCGCUCCAAGCAGAGGGAACAAUGGUUACAUUGAGGCAUGCACGGUGAGAGGAGGGGGCAAACGGCGGCAAACAGCAGAGGCCAGCAGCAGCAGGAGUUGAUGAUGCGACAGUCAAAUGAGGCAGCACAGACUGCCAAGAGUCAGCCGCCAUCUCAUCUUCUGUCUCUCUUUUUUCUUCUCUGUAUUUCUCUCUCUCCUUAAAUAGAUUAAUUUAUGU
Molecule: long non-coding RNA, 748 nt
Organism: Drosophila mojavensis
Lineage: Eukaryota; Metazoa; Arthropoda; Insecta; Diptera; Drosophilidae
Exons: 3
Source: RefSeq, a predicted model, not a curated record